GGAAGAAGCGAAAGUGACGGUACCUGCAGAAAAAGCGCCGGCUAACUACGUGCCAGCAGCCGCGGUAAUACGUAGGGCGCAAGCGUUAUCCGGAAUUAUUGGGCGUAAAGAGCUCGUAGGCGGUUUGUCGCGUCUGCUGUGAAAUCCCGAGGCUCAACCUCGGGCCUGCAGUGGGUACGGGCAGACUAGAGUGCGGUAGGGGAGAUUGGAAUUCCUGGUGUAGCGGUGGAAUGCGCAGAUAUCAGGAGGAACACCGAUGGCGAAGGCAGAUCUCUGGGCCGUAACUGACGCUGAGGAGCGAAAGGGUGGGGAGCAAACAGGCUUAGAUACCCUGGUAGUCCACCCCGUAAACGUUGGGAACUAGUUGUGGGGUCCAUUCCACGGAUUCCGUGACGCAGCUAACGCAUUAAGUUCCCCGCCUGGGGAGUACGGCCGCAAGGCUAAAACUCAAAGGAAUUGACGGGGACCCGCACAAGCGGCGGAGCAUGCGGAUUAAUUCGAUGCAACGCGAAGAACCUUACCAAGGCUUGACAUAUACGAGAACGGGCCAGAAAUGGUCAACUCUUUGGACACUCGUAAACAGGUGGUGCAUGGUUGUCGUCAGCUCGUGUCGUGAGAUGUUGGGUUAAGUCCCGCAACGAGCGCAACCCUCGUUCUAUGUUGCCAGCACGUAAUGGUGGGAACUCAUGGGAUACUGCCGGGGUCAACUCGGAGGAAGGUGGGGAUGACGUCAAAUCAUCAUGCCCCUUAUGUCUUGGGCUUCACGCAUGCUACAAUGGCCGGUACAAAGGGCUGCAAUACCGUGAGGUGGAGCGAAUCCCAAAAAGCCGGUCCCAGUUCGGAUUGAGGUCUGCAACUCGACCUCAUGAAGUCGGAGUCGCUAGUAAUCGCAGAUCAGCAACGCUGCGGUGAAUACGUUCCCGGGUCUUGUACACACCGCCCGUCAAGUCAUGAAAGUCGGUAACACCUGAAGCCGGUGGCCUAACCCUUGUGGAGGGAGCUGUCGAAGGUGGAUCGG
This 1018-nucleotide ribosomal RNA is filed under the name Microbacterium paraoxydans. RNAcentral's name for it is "bacterial SSU rRNA". It matches the Rfam family "Bacterial small subunit ribosomal RNA", at positions 443 to 1471 of the family's 1533-position model. Lineage: Bacteria; Bacillati; Actinomycetota; Actinomycetes; Micrococcales; Microbacteriaceae. The record is from RNAcentral.